RNAcentral lists this small nuclear RNA (100 nucleotides) under Aotus nancymaae (Ma's night monkey). The record is from RNAcentral. Lineage: Eukaryota; Metazoa; Chordata; Mammalia; Primates; Aotidae.
UUGCUUUGGAAGCACAUAUGCUAACGUUGGAGCAAUACAGAGAUUAGCGUGGCCCCUGUUCAAGGAUGACAUGCAAAUCUGUGAAGCGUUCCAUUAAAAA